UAGGGAAUCUUCCGCAAUGGACGAAAGUCUGACGGAGCAACGCCGCGUGAGCGAAGAAGGUCUUCGGAUCGUAAAGCUCUGUUGUCAGGGAAGAACAAGUACCGUUCGAACAGGGCGGUACCUUGACGGUACCUGACGAGGAAGCCACGGCUAACUACGUGCCAGCAGCCGCGGUAAUACGUAGGUGGCAAGCGUUGUCCGGAAUUAUUGGGCGUAAAGCGCGCGCAGGCGGUUCCUUAAGUCUGAUGUGAAAUCUCGCGGCUCAACCGCGAGCGGCCAUUGGAAACUGGGGAACGUGAGUGCAGGGGAGGGGAGCGGAAUUCCACGUGUAGCGGUGAAAUGCGUAGAGAUGUGGAGGAACACCAGUGGCGAAGGCGGCUCUCUGGCCUGUAACUGACGCGGAGGCGCGAAAGCGUGGGGAGCGAACAGG
This 430-nucleotide ribosomal RNA is filed under the name Bacillota bacterium. RNAcentral describes it as "Firmicutes bacterium partial 16S ribosomal RNA". It matches the Rfam family "Bacterial small subunit ribosomal RNA", at positions 355 to 776 of the family's 1533-position model. Lineage: Bacteria; Bacillati; Bacillota. The record is from RNAcentral.